This 515-nucleotide ribosomal RNA is filed under the name Phylladiorhynchus koumac. RNAcentral describes it as "partial large subunit ribosomal RNA". It matches the Rfam family "Bacterial large subunit ribosomal RNA", at positions 1831 to 2597 of the family's 2925-position model. Lineage: Eukaryota; Metazoa; Arthropoda; Malacostraca; Decapoda; Galatheidae. The record is from RNAcentral.
GUCUAUAUGAAGUUUCAUAUAGUCUAGCCUGCCCACUGAUUUUUAAAUGGCCGCGGUACCUUGACCGUGCAAAGGUAGCGUAAUAAUUAGUUUUUUAAUUGAAAACCCGUAUGAAAGGCUGAACAAAGAAAUAUCUGUUUCCGUAUUUAUCCUUAAAUUUUAUUUUUAAGUGAAAAAGCUUAAUUAACCUUAAAAGACGAUAAGACCCUAUAAAUCUUUAUAUAAUUGCAAUAUAUUUAAAAUAUUAUUAGUUAACUUUAAAUUAUUUCAUAUUUAUUAUGUUGGGGCGACAAGAAUACUUUAUAUUAAUCUGUUCUAUUUUUUCAAACAUUAAUAAUUGAUUAAUUAUAGAGCCUAAUUUUUUAGAUUAUUAGACCAAGUUACUUUAGGGAUAACAGCGUAAUUUUUUUUAAGAGUUCUUAUCGAAAAAAAAGUUUACGACCUCGAUGUUGAAUUAAAAUUUCUUUAUGGACGCAGAAGUCAUAUAAGUAAGUCUGUUCGACUUUUAAAAUUUU